This 2934-nucleotide ribosomal RNA is filed under the name Priestia megaterium NBRC 15308 = ATCC 14581. Its description in RNAcentral is "bacterial LSU rRNA". It matches the Rfam family "Bacterial large subunit ribosomal RNA". The record is from RNAcentral. Lineage: Bacteria; Bacillati; Bacillota; Bacilli; Caryophanales; Bacillaceae.
UUAAGUUAGAAAGGGCGCACGGUGAAUGCCUUGGCACUAGGAGCCGAUGAAGGACGGGACUAACACCGAUAUGCUUCGGGGAGCUGUAAGUGAGCUUUGAUCCGGAGAUUUCCGAAUGGGGAAACCCACUGUUCGUAAUGGAACAGUAUCUUUAUCUGAAUACAUAGGAUAUUGAAGGCAGACCCGGGGAACUGAAACAUCUAAGUACCCGGAGGAAGAGAAAGCAAAUGCGAUUUCCUGAGUAGCGGCGAGCGAAACGGAAUUAGCCCAAACCAAGAGGCUUGCCUCUUGGGGUUGUAGGACACUCUAUACGGAGUUACAAAGGAACGAAGUAAAUGAAGCGACCUGGAAAGGUCCGUCGAAGAAGGUAACAACCCUGUAGUUGAAACUUCGUUCCCUCUUGAGUGGAUCCUGAGUACGGCGGAACACGUGAAAUUCCGUCGGAAGCUGGGAGGACCAUCUCCCAAGGCUAAAUACUACCUAGUGACCGAUAGUGAACCAGUACCGUGAGGGAAAGGUGAAAAGCACCCCGGAAGGGGAGUGAAAGAGAUCCUGAAACCGUGUGCCUACAAGUAGUCAGAGCCCGUUAACGGGUGAUGGCGUGCCUUUUGUAGAAUGAACCGGCGAGUUACGAUCCCAUGCAAGGUUAAGCUGAUAAGGCGGAGCCGUAGCGAAAGCGAGUCUGAAUAGGGCGUUUAGUAUGUGGUUGUAGACCCGAAACCAGGUGAUCUACCCAUGUCCAGGGUGAAGUUCAGGUAACACUGAAUGGAGGCCCGAACCCACGCACGUUGAAAAGUGCGGGGAUGAGGUGUGGGUAGCGGAGAAAUUCCAAUCGAACCUGGAGAUAGCUGGUUCUCUCCGAAAUAGCUUUAGGGCUAGCCUCAUGUUGUGAGAGUCUUGGAGGUAGAGCACUGAUUGGACUAGGGGCCCCCAACGGGUUACCGAAUUCAGUCAAACUCCGAAUGCCAAAGACUUAUCCAUGGGAGUCAGACUGCGAGUGAUAAGAUCCGUAGUCAAAAGGGAAACAGCCCAGACCACCAGCUAAGGUCCCCAAGUAUACGUUAAGUGGAAAAGGAUGUGGAGUUGCUUAGACAACCAGGAUGUUGGCUUAGAAGCAGCCACCAUUUAAAGAGUGCGUAAUAGCUCACUGGUCGAGUGACUCUGCGCCGAAAAUGUACCGGGGCUAAACGUAUCACCGAAGCUGUGGAUUGACAUCUUUGAUGUCAGUGGUAGGAGAGCGUUCUAAGUGCUGUGAAGUCAGACCGUAAGGACUGGUGGAGCGCUUAGAAGUGAGAAUGCCGGUAUGAGUAGCGAAAGACAAGUGAGAAUCUUGUCCACCGAAUGCCAAAGGUUUCCUGAGGAAGGCUCGUCCGCUCAGGGUUAGUCGGGACCUAAGCCGAGGCUGAAAAGCGUAGGCGAUGGCCAACAGGUUGAUAUUCCUGUACCACCUCCCCGCCGUUUGAGUAAUGGGGGGACGCAGUAGGAUAGGGUAAGCGCGCUGCUGGAUAUGCGCGUUCAAGCAGUUAGGCUGAUGAGUAGGCAAAUCCGCUCAUCAUAAAGGCUGAGCUGUGAUGACGAGGGAAUUAUAGUACCGAAGUUCCUGAUUCCACACUGCCAAGAAAAGCCUCUAGCGAGGCGGGAGGUGCCCGUACCGCAAACCGACACAGGUAGGCGAGGAGAGAAUCCUAAGGUGAUCGAGAGAACUCUCGUUAAGGAACUCGGCAAAAUGACCCCGUAACUUCGGGAGAAGGGGUGCUCUGGUAGGGUGUAUAGCCCGAGAGAGCCGCAGUGAAUAGGCCCAGGCGACUGUUUAGCAAAAACACAGGUCUCUGCGAAGCCGCAAGGCGAAGUAUAGGGGCUGACGCCUGCCCGGUGCUGGAAGGUUAAGAGGAGGGGUUAUCCUUUGGGAGAAGCUCUGAAUCGAAGCCCCAGUAAACGGCGGCCGUAACUAUAACGGUCCUAAGGUAGCGAAAUUCCUUGUCGGGUAAGUUCCGACCCGCACGAAAGGCGUAACGAUCUGGGCACUGUCUCAACGAGAGACUCGGUGAAAUUAUAGUACCUGUGAAGAUGCAGGUUACCCGCGACAGGACGGAAAGACCCCGUGGAGCUUUACUGUAGCCUGAUAUUGAAUUUUGGUACAGCUUGUACAGGAUAGGUAGGAGCCUGAGAAGCCGGAGCGCUAGCUUCGGUGGAGGCGUCGGUGGGAUACUACCCUGGCUGUAUUGAAAUUCUAACCCGCGGCCCUGAUCGGGCCGGGAGACAGUGUCAGGUGGGCAGUUUGACUGGGGCGGUCGCCUCCUAAAAUGUAACGGAGGCGCCCAAAGGUUCCCUCAGAAUGGUUGGAAAUCAUUCGUAGAGUGUAAAGGCACAAGGGAGCUUGACUGCGAGACCUACAAGUCGAGCAGGGACGAAAGUCGGGCUUAGUGAUCCGGUGGUUCCGCAUGGAAGGGCCAUCGCUCAACGGAUAAAAGCUACCCCGGGGAUAACAGGCUUAUCUCCCCCAAGAGUCCACAUCGACGGGGAGGUUUGGCACCUCGAUGUCGGCUCAUCGCAUCCUGGGGCUGUAGUCGGUCCCAAGGGUUGGGCUGUUCGCCCAUUAAAGCGGUACGCGAGCUGGGUUCAGAACGUCGUGAGACAGUUCGGUCCCUAUCCGUCGUGGGCGUAGGAAAUUUGAGAGGAGCUGUCCUUAGUACGAGAGGACCGGGAUGGACACACCGCUGGUGUACCAGUUGUCUUGCCAAAGGCAUCGCUGGGUAGCUAUGUGUGGACGGGAUAAGUGCUGAAAGCAUCUAAGCAUGAAGCCCCCCUCAAGAUGAGAUUUCCCAUAGCGCAAGCUAGUAAGAUCCCUGAAAGAUGAUCAGGUUGAUAGGUCAGAGGUGGAAGCGUGGCGACAUGUGUAGCUGACUGAUACUAAUCGAUCGAGGACUUAACCAG